This 253-nucleotide ribosomal RNA is filed under the name uncultured bacterium. RNAcentral's name for it is "partial 16S ribosomal RNA". It matches the Rfam family "Bacterial small subunit ribosomal RNA", at positions 524 to 776 of the family's 1533-position model. The record is from RNAcentral.
GACAGAGGGUGCAAACGUUGUUCGGAAUUACUGGGCGUAAAGCGCGUGUAGGCAGUUUUGCAUGUCGGGUGUGAAAGCCCUGGGCUCAACCCAGGAAGUGCACUCGAAACUGCAAGAUUGGAGUUCUGGAGAGGAAGGCGGAAUUCUCGGUGUAGAGGUGAAAUUCGUAGAUAUCGAGAGGAACACCGGUGGCGAAGGCGGCCUUCUGGACAGUGACUGACGCUGAGACGCGAAAGCGUGGGGAGCAAACAGG